UAUAUAAAGAGAACAAAUUGGGCGAAAUUAGUAGAAGGUGGAAUUUUGUCAACAUGUUCAAACUUUACUUGUUGAUCUUACUUAUAGCGUCCGUCUUUGCUGGAAAGAGUGGGUCUCGUCCGCGACAUCCCGAAUGCAUCAUCCACAGUGAUUGUAUUAGAUUCUGUUCAGAGAAUUGCGACGCUGCAGCGGUAGAUCCAUUAUGCUUUGACGAGCAGUGCUGGUGCCGGCCAGAAUCUUUCAAUGGGCGCAUGAAACUAAUGUAAUGGACAUGGCAAAUUAAUUUCCCUCUCUUCCGAAGAACAUGUGGCUACAUUUACAUCAUACUCUGUACAUAGUUUAGAUCAGUAAACAUGCAUGAAUCAG
Molecule: long non-coding RNA, 366 nt
Organism: Manduca sexta (tobacco hornworm)
Lineage: Eukaryota; Metazoa; Arthropoda; Insecta; Lepidoptera; Sphingidae
Exons: 2
Source: RefSeq, a predicted model, not a curated record